UACGGAGGGUGCGAGCGUUAAUCGGAAUUACUGGGCGUAAAGCGCACGUAGGUGGUUGGGUAAGUCGGAUGUGAAAGCCCUGGGCUUAACCUGGGAACUGCAUUCGAUACUGCCCGGCUAGAGUAUGGGAGAGGGAAGCGGAAUUUCCGGUGUAGCGGUGAAAUGCGUAGAUAUCGGAAGGAACAUCAAUGGCGAAGGCAGCUUCCUGGCCCAAUACUGACGCUCAGGUGCGAAAGCGUGGGGAUCAAACAGG
RNAcentral lists this ribosomal RNA (253 nucleotides) under uncultured bacterium. Its description in RNAcentral is "partial 16S ribosomal RNA". It matches the Rfam family "Bacterial small subunit ribosomal RNA", at positions 524 to 776 of the family's 1533-position model. The record is from RNAcentral.